Stylophora pistillata is the source of this 1253-nucleotide long non-coding RNA. NCBI's taxonomy places the organism in Eukaryota, Metazoa, Cnidaria, Anthozoa, Scleractinia, Pocilloporidae. The record is from RefSeq and is a predicted model, not a curated record.
UAUGUCGGACGACUUGUAGUUUGAAACACGUCUAAAGUAAAAGGCAUACAUUUUGUGGAUUUUUGUGCUCGAUUUCAAGUAUAAUAAGGAUCAUGGCAUCAUCAGAGCAGGUGUAACCAAGAAUAGGGUUCCAAGGGCUGCAAAGGUGAAGAAAAAGGCCCCAGUUCCAGUUCAGAUCACAGCUGAACAACUCUUGAGAGAAGCAAAGGAGAAGCAGUCAAUUGGUUCCACCAGCAUUUGAAGACAACCUUCAUAAAAACAGAUCAGUGAUAAGUAACUGGUUGAAGUAUGCUUAGUGAGAAGAAAGUCAGAAAGAAAUUCAAAGGUAUGAUCUAAACCAUUUCAGCGUCAAUUGUGAGAACCAAAGUAGGAUUCGAGUCUUUCCACCAGGAUCACAUGCUGAAUGGUGCCAAAAGCCGCCGAUAGAUCAAGAAGGACUACUACAACAUCUCGACGGCGGUCUAUCGUUGGAAAUUAGUCACGUCCUUUUGUUGCAAGACACGAAAAAAGAAACUUGGACAAUGAUGCAUACGAAACUGUUAACAGCUUGAUAUAGUGCCACUAAAACUAACUCUUAAGCUAGAAAUUUGAUCUUUUAUCAUUUAAGAAUACAUGUCUAGCAGCUGAUAGAAUCUUAAAUCUCAGCGGAUGUGUACUUGACACAUGGAAUUUUCUCAGGAGAAUUUCUGCUUCAAGAACUGCUACUUUAACCCCUUAACCCUUCAAUUCCCAAGAUCUGAUAGUUAAUUCUCCCCUCUAGCUGCUACACAUUUCCUUGUAAAUUGGUUAUGAGAAUUUGGUGUUAGAUCAGGAUAACAACUUCUUCCUGAUAAGAUUGAGUAUUCUGGGUAAUGUAUGAAUAUUAUGAGGAGAAGUUACAUUUUAAUCGCUUCUGGAAGUUAAAGGGUGAAAUUCAAAGGGGUCAGAUUCACAGUACAUUAGGUGCAUAUAUCUGGAGGGCACAACCUCCUUCUCUUUACAAAUGCCAGCAGUAGUUUUGCCCAUUGUGGUCAUCUUAACAAGAAAGGUGAAAAAAGAUGAUCAGAAAUGAACAGAAUUAGGAAAUGCAAGAACUGAAAUUUUUACCUAUUUCCAAGGAAAUUUGAAUUUACAUGUAGAGGGUAAUUUUUUUAUUAGUGUAAAUUUCUUGUCAGGGUAAGGGAUUUUGAAUGAAUAAUUUUUAGUUGAGAACUCUCACAGGUUAUCAUCAAUUAUGGUUACCCUUCCCUGUCUUUUGUAUGGAGUGACUGAAA